CUGCCAGACUGCUCUAAGUGCUUUAUUUGUAUGAACUGAGUUAAUUUGAACAAAAACUUUAGGGCUAGAUACUAUAUUCCCUUUUCACAACAAAGUCACUUGCUUCUGCUUUUACUCCUGCUUUUGGCAACACAGUGACUCUGCAAACUGUCUUGUGCCCAGAGGAAACAUUUUUCUGAAAGCUUCUGAGCUGGGGCAGAUUUAGGGUGAAAUUAACACUUCAAAAAAAUCUCCAGUAAUUGAGUAAAUUGCUCAUCUGACAAAUUGGCUUUUUGGGAAAUUAGUCUGCGUGCACAUAUUGAUAGCAAAGCUCGGCCAACUUGAAAUAUGGAGAUUUACUGGAAAUCACAGUGAAAUGAAGAGAGAGGCAAGAGCAGAAUUGAAAUUCCCACCUGGCAGCAAAAGAGAGUUAUGCAGAGCAUACCAGGACAAGACAGAAGACAUGACAUUUGUGGGAACUACCACAUUUAGAAGAGGCAGCUCUCCUCCAGGAUUCACCUCCAAACUUUUUCGAAUGCUUCCUGUGAAAAAGUCUUGUUAAGGAUGGUCUUAUUUUUUUAAUUGGGAAUUAUUUUCUCACUGGUUAUUGCCAAACUAAAAAUCUUGGGAAUUUCA
Non-coding RNA from Macaca mulatta (Rhesus monkey), 615 nucleotides. The record is from RefSeq and is a predicted model, not a curated record. NCBI's taxonomy places the organism in Eukaryota, Metazoa, Chordata, Mammalia, Primates, Cercopithecidae.